CUCUCUGCUCUUUGAGUCCGACCCCGAGGUCGACCUGGGUCUGAGGGAGAGGGUGUCCCACGCCCUGAGAGAUGCCUCUCUGCCCGUGGACUGGAGCUCGCUCAGCUUCACACCUGGUGAGUAGCGACCUUUGACCCGAGGCGCCCCCUACUGGUCAGGAGGAGGAUUUCAGGAUGUUUGUGAACUGAUGUGAUGUCAUUGUUUCCACAGGAGAGACGUCCACGUCCUCACUGCUCCUGAAGGACCAGUCCAAUGAACCGGAUUCCCACAACGAGCUGGAGGUGUUUACGGCUGAUCCGGCGGCUGAUCGUCUGGUCCCGGUGGAUCCCCUCGCCCCAUCCGAGAAGGAGAAUGCCCUGGUCACGCUGCUGGAUGGUUCUGAUGGAGCGGCAACACCGAGCAGCCGUCCUCUAUCCUCAGUGGAACACGAAGAAGAGUCGCUCAUCAUCGAACACAAGAUUGAAACCAUUUACAACAAGGAAACUGGAGAACUGGUCCGAGGCUACCACCCCACGCCUCCAGGAAUACUCGGACCAGGGACGGACGGUCCAAACAUCCAAGGAGAAGAAGAAGAAACAACCUUUUCCACAGAAAGUCCUGAGGAGAGCAAAGAAGACAUCGUUGUUCCAGAUGAAGAACCUGAAGUCACACUGCUGGAACCAGAGGAGUCUUUGCACAUUGAGCCUGAAGACGAAGAAGAAGAAGAGCAGGAGGUCUUACAACCAACGCCAGAAGAAAUAAUUGUUACAGCACCAGAAGUAAAGAAAUCAGAAGAUUCUGAAUCAGAGGAAACAUCUAAGCUGGAUGAAGACUCCCAAACAGCAGCUGAUGACUCUGAGGUCAGAGACGACGUGAGCAAACAGGUCAAGGUUCUACAGUCAGAAGAAGAACCUGAAGAAGACAUCGUCAUUUUUGACUCAGAAGAAAUCGCAGUGAACCUUCGGGACAGCGACGAGGAGGAGGAGGUCCAAGAGUCAAAGCCAGGUGACGUUUGGACAGACGGAGACGAUGUCUUCCAACCAGAUGUAGGAAUACUUGAUGCUACACUGGAAGUCCAACCUCCAAUUGUGGAGACAUCGGUCAGUCGAGAGGAGGUUAUUCCUCCCGAACCAGACGAGAAGGUUCAGGAUUUAGAAGAACCAGAAACAUUGGAACCAGAGGGAGAAGCUGUAGACACUUUGGUGGAUGUUUUGGGUAAAAGUGAAAAAGAUGUUGAAGCCCAAACAGUCGGUGAUAUUGAAUCACUUGAACUAGAAACAGAACUAGAAGUUACUGAACUCAUCCCAGGAGGACAAGAAGAACAAGGAUUGGAUGGACCAUCUGCAGUACCUGAACUUCAACCAGAAACUGAAGGAGAACAACCAGAGUUUGUUGUUACUCAAGAACCGCAGGUGGUCGAUGUUUCCACACCAGACGAUGAGCUUUCUGAAGAAUCAGAACCAAAGGAAGACGUCACUGAUCCACCAGCCGAGGCCAUCAAAGUCCUGCAGGUCCCUGACCAUCUUGGCUUUGAAGAAGAUCAUGUUCAGGAGUCCGACCCGUAUCUCCAGAACAAUCUGCCUGUGGAGACAAUGGAGGUUCGACCUGAAAGCAAACACGAGGCACCAGACUCUGAACUUUUCCUCACCGUGGAAGGAGGAGAAAGCACCGAC
Long non-coding RNA from Gouania willdenowi (blunt-snouted clingfish), 1652 nucleotides. The record is from Ensembl. Lineage: Eukaryota; Metazoa; Chordata; Actinopteri; Blenniiformes; Gobiesocidae.